GGUGGUUGUAGCUCAGUUGGUUAGAGCGCUGGUUUGUGGAUCCAGAGGUCGUCGGUUCGAACCCGAUCUUCCACCCCC
Molecule: transfer RNA, 78 nt
Filed under: Echinicola pacifica
Lineage: Bacteria; Pseudomonadati; Bacteroidota; Cytophagia; Cytophagales; Cyclobacteriaceae
Description: tRNA-His
Rfam family: tRNA
About the family: Transfer RNA (tRNA) molecules are approximately 80 nucleotides in length. Their secondary structure includes four short double-helical elements and three loops (D, anti-codon, and T loops).
Source: RNAcentral